Molecule: transfer RNA, 65 nt
Filed under: Dipodomys ordii (Ord's kangaroo rat)
Lineage: Eukaryota; Metazoa; Chordata; Mammalia; Rodentia; Heteromyidae
Rfam family: tRNA
About the family: Transfer RNA (tRNA) molecules are approximately 80 nucleotides in length. Their secondary structure includes four short double-helical elements and three loops (D, anti-codon, and T loops). Further hydrogen bonds mediate the characteristic L-shaped molecular structure. tRNAs have two regions of fundamental functional importance: the anti-codon, which is responsible for specific mRNA codon recognition, and the 3' end, to which the tRNAs corresponding amino acid is attached (by aminoacyl-tRNA synthetases). tRNAs cope with the degeneracy of the genetic code in two manners: having more than one tRNA (with a specific anti-codon) for a particular amino acid; and 'wobble' base-pairing, i.e. permitting non-standard base-pairing at the 3rd anti-codon position.
Source: Rfam by way of RNAcentral
GGUGGCUCAGUGGUAGAGCACUUGCCUUAAAUGCAUGAAACCCUGGGGUCGAUUCCUCAGCACCA